GGAAAUAUGUCUGACAAAAGAAUUACUUUGAUAGAGUAAACAAUAAAGGUUUAAAUCCUCUGAUUUCUA
This is a transfer RNA of Chlorocebus sabaeus (green monkey), 69 nucleotides long. It matches the Rfam family "tRNA". Rfam says of the family: Transfer RNA (tRNA) molecules are approximately 80 nucleotides in length. Their secondary structure includes four short double-helical elements and three loops (D, anti-codon, and T loops). The record is from Rfam. Lineage: Eukaryota; Metazoa; Chordata; Mammalia; Primates; Cercopithecidae.